ACGCUGGCGGCAGGCUUAACACAUGCAAGUCGAACGGUAACAGGAAUUAGCUUGCUAAUUUGCUGACGAGUGGCGGACGGGUGAGUAAUGCUUGGGAAUCUGGCUUAUGGAGGGGGAUAACUACGGGAAACUGUAGCUAAUACCGCGUAAAAUCUUCGGAUUAAAGGGUGGGACUUUCGAGCCACCUGCCAUAAGAUGAGCCCAAGUGGGAUUAGGUAGUUGGUUAGGUAAAGGCUGACCAAGCCGACGAUCUCUAGCUGGUCUGAGAGGAUGACCAGCCACACUGGAACUGAGACACGGUCCAGACUCCUACGGGAGGCAGCAGUGGGGAAUAUUGCACAAUGGGGGGAACCCUGAUGCAGCCAUGCCGCGUGAAUGAAGAAGGCCUUCGGGUUGUAAAGUUCUUUCGGUGACGAGGAAGGUUGAUAGGUUAAUAGCCUAUCAAAUUGACGUUAAUCACAGAAGAAGCACCGGCUAACUCCGUGCCAGCAGCCGCGGUAAUACGGGGGGUGCGAGCGUUAAUCGGAAUAACUGGGCGUAAAGGGCACGCAGGCGGCGACUUAAGUGAGAUGUGAAAGCCCCGAGCUUAACUUGGGAAUUGCAUUUCAUACUGGGUCGCUAGAGUACUUUAGGGAGGGGUAGAAUUCCACGUGUAGCGGUGAAAUGCGUAGAGAUGUGGAGGAAUACCGAAGGCGAAGGCAGCCCCUUGGGAAUGUACUGACGCUCAUGUGCGAAAGCGUGGGGAGCAAACAGGAUUAGAUACCCUGGUAGUCCACGCUGUAAACGAUGUCGAUUUGGGGAUUGGGCUUUGAGCUUGGUGCCCGUAGCUAACGUGAUAAAUCGACCGCCUGGGGAGUACGGCCGCAAGGUUAAAACUCAAAUGAAUUGACGGGGGCCCGCACAAGCGGUGGAGCAUGU
This 918-nucleotide ribosomal RNA is filed under the name uncultured bacterium. RNAcentral describes it as "bacterial SSU rRNA". It matches the Rfam family "Bacterial small subunit ribosomal RNA", at positions 33 to 942 of the family's 1533-position model. The record is from RNAcentral.